This 843-nucleotide ribosomal RNA is filed under the name Coelomycidium sp. 3 TP-2011. Its description in RNAcentral is "eukaryotic LSU rRNA". It matches the Rfam family "Eukaryotic large subunit ribosomal RNA", at positions 37 to 974 of the family's 3401-position model. The record is from RNAcentral. Lineage: Eukaryota; Fungi; Blastocladiomycota; Blastocladiomycetes.
AGCAUAUUAGUAAGCAAAGGAAAAGAAACUAACAAGGAUUUCCUAAGUAAUGGCGAAUGAAUAGGAAUAAAGUCUCAAAAUUAAUCUUAGUGACAGAUAGUUGCUAAUGACAUGUAUUUGACUCUUUUAAACGACAAGUAGACACUGCUCAUUAGAGUACGAAGGAAAGCGUAGAAUCAGAGAGGGUGAUAAUCCCAUGUAAAAGCGUGUUGCUUAAAGUCGGAAAAGUACAACGAAGUCGGAUUGUUUGGGAUUGCAAUCUAAAUAUUAGGUGGUAGACUCCAUCAAAGGCUAAAUAUGAGCGAAAGACCAAUAGCGAAUAAGUAUCGUGAGAGAAUGAUGAAAAGUACUCUGUAAAGAGAGUUAAAAGUGUUUGAAAUUGCAAAGAGGUAAGCAUUAUAAACAAUGACUUAAAAUCUUAAAGUUAAGUUCAAUGACAUUGAAUUAAAGCAAUGACAUUUGAUCCAUUGAGUUUUCGAAUUCAUUGGACAAUUGCCAAGUGCAGAUAGUUGAAAACGAUAAAGCAGUAGGACUGCAAAAUAACUUAAGUGUUUAUAAUGACCCGUCUUGAAUCACGGACCAAGGAGUGCAUAAAGCAUGCGAGUCAAAUGGACAAGUUGAAUCCAUAGUUGGCGAAAUGAAAGUGAUUAUUGAAUUGAUAGUAUUGAGCAUGUUUAAUGCGACCCGAAAAAUGGUGAACUAUGCUUGCAUAAGGUAAAGCCAUAUGAAAGUGUGGUGGAGGCUUUUAGCGAUUCUGACGUGCAAAUCGAUCGUAAAAUGUGAGUAUAGGGGCGAAAGACUAAUCGAACCAUUUAGUAGCUGGUUUCCGCCGAAGUUCCCCUC